RNAcentral lists this transfer RNA (59 nucleotides) under Pomphorhynchus laevis. RNAcentral describes it as "tRNA-Asp". The record is from RNAcentral. Lineage: Eukaryota; Metazoa; Acanthocephala; Palaeacanthocephala; Echinorhynchida; Pomphorhynchidae. RNAcentral also lists the same sequence under 1 other name.
UUAGUUUAUUGAAUGCGAGUAUGUCUAGCUCGAGGUUUAGGUGGGUAUGUUGAUUUUAG